RNAcentral lists this long non-coding RNA (233 nucleotides) under Elaeis guineensis (African oil palm). Its description in RNAcentral is "long non-coding RNA (EGUI_LNC033323)". Lineage: Eukaryota; Viridiplantae; Streptophyta; Magnoliopsida; Arecales; Arecaceae. The record is from RNAcentral.
CUAAUUCGCGAGAGGGAAGGGUACCAAUCACCUUACAGAUUUGAAUCUUGUCGCAGUGCUGAACUUACCACCAACUCCAUGUCGGGACUGUUACUGCUCCACGUGGAAGGUCCUGAGACUGACGCUGAUCUUGGACAUGUGACUGAUGUGCGAUCUUGGCCGCAGUGAGGAGUCCGGUUUUGGGACAAGCACCCAACACUCGUUGAGGGCCUGUUUGAUAAAAAAUCCGCCUG